GAUGAACGCUGGCGGUAUGCUUAACACAUGCAAGUCGAACGGACUCUUCGGAGUUAGUGGCGGACGGGUGAGUAACGCGUGAGAAUCUGGCUUUGGGUUCGGGACAACCACUGGAAACGGUGGCUAAUACCGGAUGUGCCGAGAGGUAAAAGAGAAAUUGCCUGAAGAUGAGCUCGCGUCUGAUUAGCUAGUUGGUGAGGUAAAGGCUCACCAAGGCAGCGAUCAGUAGCUGGUCUGAGAGGAUGACCGGCCACACUGGGACUGAGACACGGCCCAGACGCCUACGGGAGGCAGCAGUGGGGAAUUAUCCGCAAUGGGCGAAAGCCUGACGGAGCAAUACCGCGUGAGGGAAGAAGGCUCUUGGGUUGUAAACCUCUUUUCUUAGGGAAGAACAAAAUGACGGUACCUAAGGAAUCAGCAUCGGCUAACUCCGUG
Molecule: ribosomal RNA, 435 nt
Filed under: uncultured bacterium
Lineage: Bacteria
Description: partial 16S ribosomal RNA
Rfam family: Bacterial small subunit ribosomal RNA
Source: RNAcentral